UACGAAGGGGGCUAGCGUUGUUCGGAUUUACUGGGCGUAAAGCGCACGUAGGCGGAUCUUUAAGUCAGAGGUGAAAUCCCAAGGCUCAACCUUGGAACUGCCUUUGAUACUGGGGAUCUUGAGUCCGGGAGAGGUGAGUGGAACUGCGAGUGUAGAGGUGAAAUUCGUAGAUAUUCGCAAGAACACCAGUGGCGAAGGCGGCUCACUGGCCCGGUACUGACGCUGAGGUGCGAAAGCGUGGGGAGCAAACGGG
This 253-nucleotide ribosomal RNA is filed under the name uncultured bacterium. RNAcentral's name for it is "partial 16S ribosomal RNA". It matches the Rfam family "Bacterial small subunit ribosomal RNA", at positions 524 to 776 of the family's 1533-position model. The record is from RNAcentral.